GCCUGGGUGGCUCAGUUGGUUAAGCUUCUGACUUCAGCUCAGGUCACGAUCUCACGGUUUGUGAGUUCGAGCCCCACAUCAGGCU
RNAcentral lists this transfer RNA (85 nucleotides) under Felis catus (domestic cat). It matches the Rfam family "tRNA". From Rfam's summary of the family: Transfer RNA (tRNA) molecules are approximately 80 nucleotides in length. Their secondary structure includes four short double-helical elements and three loops (D, anti-codon, and T loops). The record is from Rfam by way of RNAcentral. Lineage: Eukaryota; Metazoa; Chordata; Mammalia; Carnivora; Felidae.